Molecule: unclassified non-coding RNA, 89 nt
Organism: Pteropus vampyrus (large flying fox)
Lineage: Eukaryota; Metazoa; Chordata; Mammalia; Chiroptera; Pteropodidae
Gene: Vault
Rfam family: Vault RNA
About the family: This family of RNAs are found as part of the enigmatic vault ribonucleoprotein complex. The complex consists of a major vault protein (MVP), two minor vault proteins (VPARP and TEP1), and several small untranslated RNA molecules.
Source: Ensembl
GGGUCGGCUUUAGCUCAAGCGGUUACUUCGUUUCAGCAACAAAUCCCAACCAUGGGGUUCGAGACCCGCGGGUGCUUUCUGACCCUUUU